This is a long non-coding RNA of Eriocheir sinensis (Chinese mitten crab), 1982 nucleotides long. RefSeq lists it as uncharacterized. The transcript is spliced from 3 exons. The record is from RefSeq and is a predicted model, not a curated record. Lineage: Eukaryota; Metazoa; Arthropoda; Malacostraca; Decapoda; Varunidae.
CGAGGCGCCGUGGAGGGGAGUCGCGGGCACUGGAGAGAUUCGCGUGUCCUUCAUAGAACUUUCCCUUUAUCUUCGUCUGGGGCGGAUGCGAGAUUCCCGGGCAAGUGGAGCAGGUGUCUUGACUGCGCGGGCGGCCGUCUUCGGGGCUAUUCCAGGAAACUCGACGCUAAUGGUCCAAAGGAGGCAGGGCUGCGAGGGGCGACGCCGCGACAGGACCCGACGACCCCGUGCCCGUCACACAGUCAUCAGACUUCAAUAAGACCAGACAGUCGCACUUCUGCUUAGUUUCAAUUUAGUUUUGUAGUUCUCUGAAUUAACGUAGAGCAGGGGGUCAGCGAGAAGAGAGGUUUGAUGAGGAGAAGAGCAGAGACAAUGAUUUUGUUUAGCCGGGGAUCCAUUUGUCAGUGAAGUGUGUCAGUGUCGGGGAAAAGGUUAGAAUCAUCAAUUUGUCAGUACCGUGAGGAAUUACGCAGUGGAGCGAUUUUUACAGACAUUAAUGGCCACGGAACUCUUACGGAGUCUACUUGCUAUCCGCGAGUGAAGACACAUGUAGAGUCCUGUAUUUAUCCGUUAACCCAGCCCGUGUUUUCAUUGUCUGAUUGCAUUAGCGUAAGCUUGUAUAACAGAUUAAUUCGAACACUAAUGCCGGGACACAUUGCACAUUGCGUAGUUUUCUCUUCAUACGAAUUUUUGGUUCACUAACGUGAAGACUUCACGGAUAAAUGAACGUCCGGCCUUAGUGUGGCAGCACGUAAUUUUUGCCCCAGCACUUAUUUGUUGGACCAACACCACAACGCCAGGAAGAACUGCGUAGCCGCACUGUUAAAAGAAUAUGCUGAAUGCUACGCUCUUCCUGUACUCUGCAUUGCUAGGAAAGUUCUCGACAAUACAACACUACAAUGUAACGAAGUAUGAGUAUUCUCUGUUAGUAUCUGCUGUUUGUGGUAGUAUUACAGAGAACUUUCAGUAACACAGUACAGGAAGAGCGUAUCAUAAAGCACAAUCUUAACAGUACUACAGCUACGCAGCUCUCUUCCCUCACGUCGUUGUGUUGGUCCAACAAAUCGAGACAUGCUGCAGCAUUUAUUACGUGCCGCCACGCCAAGGCCGCGGAGGGAGUCUCCCCGUCCAUGAGGUAAAAGAUCGCAUGAUCAAAAAAGUACGUAAUGUGCAUUAUGCCCCGACGCCAGUACCAAAACGAAUGAAUCGGUUAUACAAUCAUAAGGUAAUGAAGUUGGAUAAUGAUGUUUCAACACAGAUUAGCUCAGCGGAAAAAUACUGGAGUGUACAUAACUCCCAACUCGCCGUAUAUCAAGUGGACUCCACAACAGGUUCCGUGGCCAUUAGUGUCGUAAAAAACGCUCCACUGCGCAAUUCCUCACGGAAACGAACACGAGACAAACAUGAACUGAUAAGUCACUGACAAAUGGGAGGCCCGGCCUGAGAAAACAAUCACUAAACCUCUCUCUGUUCAACGUUGUUUUACGGAGAAACCAGAGAGAUUACAACGUCCAAAUGUUGAAAUGCACACUAUACAUGUGUAAACUCACAGCCCUGUUUGUUAUGUAUUUAGAGGAGUCCACCAGUGACGUUUCCGCUGUAGUAUAUAUAACAUGAAUACAAGCGAAGGGCGAGAGAACCAUUUGGUGUUCACGCUGAGCAAGAGUGACUUAACUCGACAUGAUGAAUGAACAGACGCAGAGUAAAUCAUUGUCAACACUAUACUAAGAGGUUCUCCCUCACUCCCUAGCUUGCAUUCUUGCUAUUCUACGGCGGAAAUCUCACAUUAGUCUCCCCUAAAUAACGCCCCUAAACAGAGCAUGUUCUACACAUUUUAAGAGUUCACAGCGAGUUACAUAACCACCGAAGCCAGAGGGCGAGCUGGAGGAGGGCCGCUACUGCACAACGUUGGCAAGGGACAACAUUAGUUGUGUUUGUUUACGUGGCCUGUAAGCUUUGUUACAUAUGAAAUUUAAACUGGC